This 468-nucleotide ribosomal RNA is filed under the name uncultured bacterium. RNAcentral's name for it is "partial 16S ribosomal RNA". It matches the Rfam family "Bacterial small subunit ribosomal RNA", at positions 28 to 507 of the family's 1533-position model. The record is from RNAcentral.
GACGAACGCUGGCGGCGUGCUUAACACAUGCAAGUCGAACGGAAAGGCCCUGCUUUUGUGGGGUGCUCGAGUGGCGAACGGGUGAGUAACACGUGAGUAACCUGCCCUUGACUUUGGGAUAACUUCAGGAAACUGGGGCUAAUACCGGAUAGGAGCUCCUGCUGCAUGGUGGGGGUUGGAAAGUUUCGGCGGUUGGGGCUGGACUCGCGGCUUAUCAGCUUGUUGGUGGGGUAGUGGCUUACCAAGGCUUUGACGGGUAGCCGGCCUGAGAGGGUGAACGGCGACAUGGGGCCUGCGAGACGCACCAGAGGGCAAUGUUAGGCAGUAGGGGGGAACAUUGCACAAUCGGCGGACGCCGGAUGCAGCAACGUUGCGGGUGUGAUGACGUUUUUCGGGGUGUAAACAGCUGUCGCUUGUGACGAAGCUGUAGUGACGGUAAUGGGUAAAUAAGCACCGGCUAACUACGUG